RNAcentral lists this ribosomal RNA (201 nucleotides) under uncultured bacterium. RNAcentral's name for it is "partial 16S ribosomal RNA". It matches the Rfam family "Bacterial small subunit ribosomal RNA", at positions 29 to 256 of the family's 1533-position model. The record is from RNAcentral.
AACGAACGCUGGCGGCAUGCCUAACACAUGCAAGUCGAACGAGACCUUCGGGUCUAGUGGCGCACGGGUGCGUAACGCGUGGGAAUCUGCCCUUAGGUUCGGAAUAAACUCAGGGAAACUUGAGCUAAUACCGGAUAAUGACGUAAGUCCAAAGAUUUAUCGCCUAGGGAUGAGCCCGCGUAGGAUUAGCUAGUUGGUGGG